RNAcentral lists this ribosomal RNA (465 nucleotides) under Vreelandella stevensii. RNAcentral describes it as "partial 16S ribosomal RNA". It matches the Rfam family "Bacterial small subunit ribosomal RNA", at positions 338 to 796 of the family's 1533-position model. Lineage: Bacteria; Pseudomonadati; Pseudomonadota; Gammaproteobacteria; Oceanospirillales; Halomonadaceae. The record is from RNAcentral.
CCUACGGGUGGCAGCAGUGGGGAAUAUUGGACAAUGGGGGGAACCCUGAUCCAGCCAUGCCGCGUGUGUGAAGAAGGCCCUCGGGUUGUAAAGCACUUUCAGUGAGGAAGAACGCCUGGUGGUUAAUACCCAUCAGGAAAGACAUCACUCACAGAAGAAGCACCGGCUAACUCCGUGCCAGCAGCCGCGGUAAUACGGAGGGUGCGAGCGUUAAUCGGAAUUACUGGGCGUAAAGCGCGCGUAGGUGGCUUGAUAAGCCGGUUGUGAAAGCCCCGGGCUCAACCUGGGAACGGCAUCCGGAACUGUGAGACGAGAGGUUAGAGGGGGAGGGUAGAGGCGCCGGUGGAGCGGUGGGGUGGGUACAGAGCGGGCGGAGGGGCAGGGGCGAAGGAGAGGUUCUGGAUAGAAACUGACGGUGAGGUUCGUCAGCUGGCAUACCUAGCAGCCCUAGGUAGACGGGGGUGC